Long non-coding RNA from Rhipicephalus sanguineus (brown dog tick), 950 nucleotides. RefSeq lists it as uncharacterized. The record is from RefSeq and is a predicted model, not a curated record. The transcript has 4 exons. Lineage: Eukaryota; Metazoa; Arthropoda; Arachnida; Ixodida; Ixodidae.
AGGGUCAGCGCGCACCAAGGAGAUAUUUAUAUUUGUUUUGAUUUAUGCAGCGUCAUUUCGCGUUUUUGCACUUGUGAAAACGUCGCACCUUUUACGUGCACCUCACAGUCAAAAUAGCGCCUUCGUCUUCAAGUGAGCGCUCGUCACCCUCCACCUUUCCCGACGACUCGCCUAGGGAGCUUCUGACGAAUUUCACUAGCAAAUGGCUGUAUAAGCCUGAGACGGCCGCUCGAACAAUGAAAUGGCCGUCACAUGAGGUACGGAAGGUUCACAAACCAAAACUAAAUUCGAAACGCGCGCCGAACCGGACUAUUUCGCGGAGCAGUACAUGUGCAGUAGCUCCGCCCCCAUAGCCUUCCCUUCAUUGCCAAGAAAAGUUGUCCUUGGGGGCGCUUUAGUUGUUUGACGGGUGCACGAUGCGCGCGGUUUGUGUGUGUGUGUGCCAUGCUGUGUUCUGCAAUGCUUCGUUACCACGUUUAUCGAUUAUGCACGUUGGUUACUUGAUUCAAUGUCAAGUGUACCUUCCAAGACGAUCUAGGUCCUAGUCUUGUGACUGAAGGCGAGUGCGGACGUACAGCAGCCUUUUGACAAGACUGUCGCCGAGUGCACGGUACAUUGUGGACUGUAAAGCUGAAGAGUGCACAGUGGAUGCCUGAUUUUGGAACCGAGUGUGAUCGUCUGGGCGGUGUGUUCACUCUGCGGGGAUGAUGGCCAGAGGAAGGAUGAUAGACAGACGACAGCUUGCAGACGAAGAUGGGAGCGUUCUACCUGUGAGCCUGGUCGAGCUUAUAUUUUAUGGAUACACAUGCAUGGAUACACAUACAUGGAUUCCCUACAAGGACCCUGCGCAUCAAAAGCAAUCUGUCAUCAAUGUUAAGUAGACAGAUUAAACGAAACGAAGAUAUGACAGGUGUACACCAUAUUUUUCUUUCAUUUAACCUCUGCAUGUU